UUAUCAAAACAACUAAUUGGUAAACAUCAUAAAAUGUCGAUUUACAAAGUUCGAGAAAUUUCGAGAAAUCGCAUGUUUUUCUGUUUUUUUCUUAGUCGGAGGUGUAACGUGUUUUCUCGUGACGACUUAAUCACGGUUUUUUUCCCAACACAAUAUUCAAUAAAGCCAUUAUCGUUCAAGUUGGCCGACGCUAAUGGAGCGUUCGAGUUUGCCGACGGAUUUUAUCGUCAGCCGAAGAUUUAUAUCGUCUCUAUAAUAAUAUAACGACGAUCGUUUUGGCAAAACAACAUCGA
Molecule: non-coding RNA, 293 nt
Organism: Cinara cedri
Lineage: Eukaryota; Metazoa; Arthropoda; Insecta; Hemiptera; Aphididae
Source: the annotation of a GenBank genome assembly